This 460-nucleotide ribosomal RNA is filed under the name uncultured bacterium. RNAcentral's name for it is "partial 16S ribosomal RNA". It matches the Rfam family "Bacterial small subunit ribosomal RNA", at positions 338 to 795 of the family's 1533-position model. The record is from RNAcentral.
CCUACGGGGUGCAGCAGUGAGGAAUAUUGGUCAAUGGACGAGAGUCUGAACCAGCCAAGUAGCGUGAAUGAUGACUGCCCUAUGGGUUGUAAACUUCUUUUAUAUGGGAAUAAAAUGUUCCACGUGUGGGAUUUUGUAUGUACCAUAUGAAUACGGAUCGGCUAACUCCGUGCCAGCAGCCGCGGUAAUACGGAGGAUCCGAGCGUUAUCCGGAUUUAUUGGGUUUAAAGGGAGCGUAGGUGGAUUGUUAAGUCAGUUGUGAAAGUGUGCGGCUCAACCGUAAAAGUGCAGUUGAAACUGGCAGUCUUGAGUACAGUAGAGGUGGGCGGAAGUCGUGGUGUAGCGGUGAAAUGCUUAGAUAUCACGAAGAACUCCGAUUGCGAAGGCAGUUCACUGGACUGCAACUGACACUGAGGUUCGAAAGUGUGGGUAGCAAACAGGAUUAGAUACCCUAGUAGUC